UGGGGAAUUUUGGACAAUGGGGGAAACCCUGCUCCAGCCAUCCCGCGUGUGCGAUGAAGGCCUUCGGGUUGUAAAGCACUUCUGGCAGGAAAGAAACGUCAUGGGUUAAUACCCCGUGAAACUGACGGUACCUGCAGAAUAAGCACCGGCUAACUACGUGCCAGCAGCCGCGGUAAUACGUAGGGUGCAAGCGUUAAUCGGAAUUACUGGGCGUAAAGCGUGCGCAGGCGGUUCGGAAAGAGAGAUGUGAAAUCCCAGAGCUCAACUUUGGAACUGCAUUUUUAACUGCCGGGCUAGAGUGUGUCAGAGGGAGGUGGAAUUCCGCGUGUAGCAGUGAAAUGCGUAGAUAUGCGGAGGAACACCGGUGGCGAAGGCAGCCUCCUGGGAUAACACUGACGCUCAUGCACGAAAGCGUGGGGAGCAAACAGG
This 429-nucleotide ribosomal RNA is filed under the name Acidobacteriota bacterium. Its description in RNAcentral is "Acidobacteria bacterium partial 16S ribosomal RNA". It matches the Rfam family "Bacterial small subunit ribosomal RNA", at positions 355 to 776 of the family's 1533-position model. The record is from RNAcentral. Lineage: Bacteria; Pseudomonadati; Acidobacteriota.